Long non-coding RNA from Herpailurus yagouaroundi (jaguarundi), 361 nucleotides. RefSeq lists it as uncharacterized. The record is from RefSeq and is a predicted model, not a curated record. NCBI's taxonomy places the organism in Eukaryota, Metazoa, Chordata, Mammalia, Carnivora, Felidae. The transcript has 2 exons.
GCAAAAAACAUGGAGAGUGAGAAGAGGAAAGAGGAGAGAAAACCAAGGCAAAGAUGGAGAGAAGGUCUUCUUAACCUUGAUCAUUGUAUCAGAGAACUUUUAAUUAUCUGAGAAUGACCAGAAGACCCAUGGGAUCUGUCUGCAUUCUCAUGCAAGCAGACACGGAGGAACUUGGCCUCAGGAGUGAACAGCAAAGACACCAGCAGAGAUGCUUUCAGAUUAAGCACUUGAGUUCCACUUGUAAAAUGUUAAGAUUACAUUUGCUUUAUUGAAGAUAAAUUUUUCCCUCUUUUUUUUAGUUCUACUUUUUGAUGACUUUUGAGGUAAGGGAUUGAAAUAAAAAUGUCUUUACCAACUUUAA